Cryptomeria japonica (Japanese cedar) is the source of this 682-nucleotide long non-coding RNA. RefSeq lists it as uncharacterized. The record is from RefSeq and is a predicted model, not a curated record. NCBI's taxonomy places the organism in Eukaryota, Viridiplantae, Streptophyta, Pinopsida, Cupressales, Cupressaceae. The transcript has 7 exons.
UCAACGGAAGGAUCCAAGGCCUGCAACACACCAGGCAACUUGAGCCAAUCUCAAAGCCUCCAAUUUCCAUAUGCCAGUUUUGAGGAUUGCAGCAUGGCAGCGCUUGUGUAUUGUCCUCUGGUGACUUUCAUUACAAAAGUGUCUGUACCAUUCAAAAGUCACUGCUCCAACAUAAACAGCUCACCCAAAUACAUAUUACCAGACAACAACAUACCCAUGAUUGCACUCCAUGCCGAUUACAAACAAACAUUUUCAGGUGGAUGUCACAAGUUCUGCACAUCUCAUACAACAGAUUCCCGAGAUUGAUGCUUAACACCCUCUCCGACACCAAAAUCAACUGGAUUGCACUUCAUUCAAGUUGCAAUAGUUACAAAUUGCCUCUUACAAAACUAUGAAGGUUGACUUGCUUGAUAUACAUGACCUUCCUCACCAUGAUAAGCAAAAUAUAUAUUGCCAGUUCCUCUUUCUUGUCAGGCUUUAAAACUCAGCAGGCGUUGUAAUUUAAAACAAGUUGAUCGCAUUGCCUUUAUGUUGUUGCUCAUCAAGAAGUCAAUCCGUCAUCAGCCAUUACACAUCUUGCAGCUUUCAACAGCUUUCAAAUUAUUUGAUUCUUUCAAACCUGCUAUUUUACAUCUCACAGCCCUAUCUUCUCAAAUAUUAACAUGUUCAAGAUGACGACACC